ACUUUAUCUUGUCUUUAUAUUAUUAGAAUUGUUAAUCUGCUUUGCUUAGCCCAAGUACAAAUACAGUAGACCGAAGCUGAGAAUAUCCUGUCACACUCCAAGAUAAAAGCUUGAAACCGUGAUGUGGGACCAGUGCAUUGAUGUCUUCAGAGAGCCUGAAACAAAAGCUCUGAGAGAUGAGAAUUGCUCCAUGGAUCUCACUGAGACAAUGUCACCAAGUUACCUGCUCUGUUCACAUGCUUCUGCAGAGGCUGCCUUGCGCCUCCUUGAAACAGAAAAUCCAAUGUGCCCAUUUAUGUAAUAAGGAAGGACUGGUGGGACAGCAGAGAAUGAGGUCAGUUAAAAUCAAGCAGCAAGUUCACUCCACAGACCAGUGUUUACAAACAUGGGAAAGGAAGGAGCAAAAGAAAUUCAGAGUACAAUCGACUUGUAAAAAUUCCUAUUAAAAAACUGCAAAGCAAAAAACCAAAAAACUGACAUACUGAACUAAAGCCCGGCUCAAUACAUCCCCUUCUAUUAAUGGAUUAAAGAGCACUGCAGAACAUGCUUCUACCCCGAUGCUACUUAAAACCCAUCAUGCUAAUCAACCUUUUAUGAAAACCAGCACAGAGUUGACCUGAAAUACUUAGUUCACAAGUUUAUUAUGAAAAAACACUGCAGUACUCUCCUGCAGUAACAUCAUUUUACAGGAAAAAAACAGUUCUGUUCAAAAUAACUCACUAUGCUUGGACAAUUACAAAGGACAAUGAAGGAGGCAGAAUGGGGAGGAAGAAAAUGAGUGAGACAAAAAUCAAUACAAUUAAAUUAAACAGUAUUCCCU
Molecule: long non-coding RNA, 820 nt
Organism: Mauremys mutica (yellowpond turtle)
Lineage: Eukaryota; Metazoa; Chordata; Testudines; Geoemydidae
Exons: 3
Source: RefSeq, a predicted model, not a curated record